This 253-nucleotide ribosomal RNA is filed under the name uncultured bacterium. RNAcentral's name for it is "partial 16S ribosomal RNA". It matches the Rfam family "Bacterial small subunit ribosomal RNA", at positions 524 to 776 of the family's 1533-position model. The record is from RNAcentral.
UACGUAGGGUGCGAGCGUUAAUCGGAAUUACUGGGCGUAAAGCGUGCGUAGGCGGUCCGCGAAGUCUGAUGUGAAAGCCCCGGGCUCAACCUGGGAACUGCAUUGGAAACUAACGGGCUCGAGUGUGGCAGAGGGGGGUGGAAUUCCACGUGUAGCAGUGAAAUGCGUAGAGAUGUGGAGGAACACCGAUGGCGAAGGCAGCCCCCUGGGCUAACACUGACGCUCAUGCACGAAAGCGUGGGGAGCAAACAGG